AGCCAGAGUUUCACCCUGUUGUCCAGGGUGGAGUGCAGUGGUACGAUAUUGGCUCACGGCAACCUCCGCUCCUGGGUUCAAGCGAUUGUCCUGACCCCGUCAGGGGGAAGGAAGGGGAGACCCUGUUGGCAUCACUAGAGAAUCUGGGUCAAGCCAUGCCUGAAGCUGGUCAAUCCAUGGCCCUCUGCAUUUUAGGAGCCAGUUUUGUGAAAUUUCCCUCUGACGCUGCUACUCUGAUGGUUGGCAUUUCCGGGCUGACUGCAAGAGGCCAUCCUGGUGGGGCUGGACCCCCUUCGCUCUGGCUGGUGAAGUCACAGCUCGGGACACCCAGAAUCCUGGCUCCUCCAAGUACCUCAGCCUGCGUGGGUACGGGUGCACUGUCUGUGAGCACUGACUGUAUAUCGAACCCUGGGCAGAUCUUGGGUGGGGACACAAGCAGCCUUAUGGCUUUCAUAACCCCCGCGCCCGCCAGGCUCCCAGGAAAACCCCGGCCCUCAGCCGAAAAUAUGCUGGAAGAACUCCCCGGGACCCUGGCGUCAACACCACCCUCUCUUCUUUACCAUCACUUCUUUCCCUGCCUCUCAAUCAACGCUUCCAUUCUGCACUCUAUUAACCAAUACUUGUUCUGAUGCUGGAAUUAUGAGGCCUUUCUUCUUGAUCAGGCCAACUCCUACUCAUCCUUCAAAACCCAGAAAUGCCACCUUCUUUGUGAACCUUUCCCAGUUUCCCAAAAGCAGGCACUCCCUCACUCCUGGUGCUGCCAAAACACUGUGUGAACGAGGGAAUGACCCCAGCUGCCCUGGCGAGUUUCCCAUGGGGAUGAGCGUGCUCUCUCCGUGGGGAUGGCAUCAAACAGAGACCCAGCAAGUGAGGACUGGCCGUGUUCAUCUAUAGGAGCACAAAUGCAAAGACCCUAAGUGGGCAGCCUGCUUGGCAAGUGUGAGAAACAGCGGGGAAGCCAGGAGCAGAGAGCAGGGUAGGGGAGAAGCUGGGGAGGGAGGAAGAAGUAGGAGUGAGGUGACACAACUGAAUGGCUUGGUGCAACACACCGCACAGUAAUGACCCCUGUAACUUUCCCAUUCUCAUAGCAGCCAUGUGGGAACUUAGACCCCGGGGGCAAGGGACAGGCUCAAGGGCACACAGCCAUCCAGUGGCAGAGUUAGCAUUGAACCCAAGGCUGUCUGUCCCCGAGUUCAUGUCUUGCGGCAUCACCUUGCAGCAUCCCGUAAGGGGCAGAACAAGAGGCUGAGUUCCAUGUCCCCAUUGUCACUCCCACCUGGCUGGUUACCCUGUAGACCUGGGGCCCAGGUAGGCCAGGCUUCCCGCCUAGGAGGAUCCCUCCUAACCCCAGUUGGCUUGGUUGGCUUGGCUGGCUUGGCUGGCUUGGCUCUAGUCUUCUGCCUUUAUUUCCACAUAAACAACUCCACCAUAUAUGUGAGGGACGCCAUCCCUGGUUGCUGCUCCUACAUGGUCCCAGGCCAGAGACAGGCUCUUACCAAUGCCAGUGUAUUUGGUGGAGGCCAUGCUGGCCUUCCUGGAAGACCCCUGUGCAGAGUGGGUGGUACAGGUGCCACUGUGUCAUAGUCAUCUGCCUCUCCAGCACCUGCAGCUUGAGUAUGAGUCCUGCCACUCAAGGGGCUAUGUGCCAGGCCCUGUGCUGGGCACCGUAUACAUGGAGCUGACCCUCAGGGUCUCG
This 1696-nucleotide long non-coding RNA is filed under the name Papio anubis (olive baboon). Its description in RNAcentral is "lncRNA (ENSPANG00000043040.1)". Lineage: Eukaryota; Metazoa; Chordata; Mammalia; Primates; Cercopithecidae. The record is from RNAcentral.